AGGUGGCUAACAUUAACUGACCAUGCAGCACAGAUUUGCAUGAUUCUUCCUGCUAGACCAUGAGCUUAUUACAGAACCUGACACAGUUGGGCUCCAUAAACCUUUAUUAAGCAAAUGAAUACAGGAAUGAGUCAGCUACUCCAGCCAUUCCAUCUUUAAACUAGAGGCUAUAAAUGCAAAUCACUGCUGGCACCAGACUAGUGAGAGAGCAAAAUGGGACCAGCCAGGACAGCAGUCAAUGGUGGAAUGUGUGCUUCCAAAACAGGGAAGCUGAGGAGCCCACUGUUGCCAUCCUAAAAUGUAGGCUCCAUGUAGCUAUGCCUGAUACAGUCUCAAGAAACUUGUAAAUGCUGAAAAAAAACUUAAAAAGGAAAGAGAAGACAGUACAAUGUACCAGGGAGCAGGACUAAGAUGGAAACUCAAGUGUGUUUAGAACAACAGUCCCUACUCUUGAUCCUAACAACCUCCCUUGGUAGGAAGUCACAUCAGUGUUUAAACUGGAACCGCUAACAGCACUAGUAUCACAUUUCUUCUGAGCACUAAUUCUCAUACUGAUGAGUGUUCUGAGUGCAUAAUAGGUGGUUAAAUGGAGUUGAAAGAUUGGUUUAAAAAUCACCACCGACAAGAAACUUUUUAUGAAUUAGAAAAUUUUCAUCAAGACACAUCUGCAUAACUUUGGUUGAAGACACUCAAGUCCUUGAGGCCAGCUAAGACACCUUGAAAUUGAAGACACUCAGAAAACCAGAAGCAAAGCAAAUGAAUAAGCACAUUUCUGAGCACUGGUCUGGAACAGGUGUUGCCAGAAGAGAUUCAUAUUUGAGUCAGCGGACUGGGAGAGGCAGACCCAACCACAAUGUGGGUGGACACCAUCCCAUCAGCUGCCAGCGCAACUAGAAAAAGCCGGCAGAAGAAGGUGAAAGAAGCGGACUUGCUGAGUUUUCCGGCCUUCGUCUUUCUCCUAUGCUGCCCUCGAACAUCAGGCCCCAGCUUCUUUGGCUUUUGGAGUCUUGGACUUACACCAGUGGUUUCCCAGGGGCUCUCGGGCCUUUGGCCACAGACUAAAGGCUACACUGCCGAGCUUUCCUACUUUUCAGGUUUUGGAACUCUAACUGAGCCACUACUGUCUUCCUUGCUCCUCAACUUACAGACGGCCCAUCUGGGUCUUCAC
Gorilla gorilla gorilla (western lowland gorilla) is the source of this 1168-nucleotide long non-coding RNA. RefSeq lists it as uncharacterized. Lineage: Eukaryota; Metazoa; Chordata; Mammalia; Primates; Hominidae. The record is from RefSeq and is a predicted model, not a curated record. The transcript has 3 exons.